UAACUGAAGAGUUUGAUCAUGGCUCAGAUUGAACGCUGGCGGCAGGCUUAACACAUGCAAGUCGAGCGGGGGAAGGUAGCUUGCUACCGGACCUAGCGGCGGACGGGUGAGUAAUGCUUAGGAAUCUGCCUAUUAGUGGGGGACAACAUCUCGAAAGGGAUGCUAAUACCGCAUACGUCCUACGGGAGAAAGCAGGGGAUCUUCGGACCUUGCGCUAAUAGAUGAGCCUAAGUCGGAUUAGCUAGUUGGUGGGGUAAAGGCCUACCAAGGCGACGAUCUGUAGCGGGUCUGAGAGGAUGAUCCGCCACACUGGGACUGAGACACGGCCCAGACUCCUACGGGAGGCAGCAGUGGGGAAUAUUGGACAAUGGGGGGAACCCUGAUCCAGCCAUGCCGCGUGUGUGAAGAAGGCCUUAUGGUUGUAAAGCACUUUAAGCGAGGAGGAGGCUACU
This 452-nucleotide ribosomal RNA is filed under the name Acinetobacter baumannii. RNAcentral's name for it is "bacterial SSU rRNA". It matches the Rfam family "Bacterial small subunit ribosomal RNA", at positions 1 to 455 of the family's 1533-position model. Lineage: Bacteria; Pseudomonadati; Pseudomonadota; Gammaproteobacteria; Moraxellales; Moraxellaceae. The record is from RNAcentral.